AUUGAACGCUGGCGGAAUGCUUUACACAUGCAAGUCGAACGAUGAACCUUAGCUUGCUAAGGGGAUUAGUGGCGAACGGGUGAGUCAUAUAUCGGAACGUGCCUUGUAAUGGGGGUAACCUCGUGGAACGAUUACCUAUUACGGAAAAGGCCUCGAGGGGGAAGGUGGGGGAUCUUCGGCCUUUAGGUUAUAGGGGCGGCCGUCACCUGAUUAGCUAGUUGGUGGGGUAAUGGCCUACAAAGGCGACGAUCAGUAGCUGGUCUGAGAGAAGGACCAGCGACACUGGAACUGAGACGCGGUCCAGACUCCUACGAGAGGCAGCAGUGGGGAAUUUUGGACAAUGGGCGCAAGCCUGAUCCAGCCAUUCCGCGUGAGUGAAGAAGGCCUUCGGGUUGUAAAGCUCUUUCGCAAGGGAAGAAAACUUACCAUCGAAUAAAUGGUGAGGCUGACGGUACCUUGAUAAGAAGCACCGGCUAACUACGUG
Molecule: ribosomal RNA, 484 nt
Filed under: uncultured bacterium
Lineage: Bacteria
Description: partial 16S ribosomal RNA
Rfam family: Bacterial small subunit ribosomal RNA
Source: RNAcentral